This 77-nucleotide transfer RNA is filed under the name Synergistaceae bacterium. Its description in RNAcentral is "tRNA-Arg". It matches the Rfam family "tRNA". From Rfam's summary of the family: Transfer RNA (tRNA) molecules are approximately 80 nucleotides in length. Their secondary structure includes four short double-helical elements and three loops (D, anti-codon, and T loops). The record is from RNAcentral. Lineage: Bacteria; Thermotogati; Synergistota; Synergistia; Synergistales; Synergistaceae.
GCGCUCGUAGCUCAGCUGGAUAGAGCAACGGCCUUCUAAGCCGUAGGCCGCGGGUUCGAAUCCUGCCGGGCGCGCCA